This 429-nucleotide ribosomal RNA is filed under the name Gemmatimonadota bacterium. RNAcentral's name for it is "Gemmatimonadetes bacterium partial 16S ribosomal RNA". It matches the Rfam family "Bacterial small subunit ribosomal RNA", at positions 355 to 776 of the family's 1533-position model. Lineage: Bacteria; Pseudomonadati; Gemmatimonadota. The record is from RNAcentral.
UAGGGAAUCUUCGGCAAUGGACGAAAGUCUGACCGAGCAACGCCGCGUGAGUGAAGAAGGUUUUCGGAUCGUAAAACUCUGUUGUUAGAGAAGAACAAGGACGUUAGUAACUGAACGUCCCCUGACGGUAUCUAACCAGAAAGCCACGGCUAACUACGUGCCAGCAGCCGCGGUAAUACGUAGGUGGCAAGCGUUGUCCGGAUUUAUUGGGCGUAAAGCGAGCGCAGGCGGUUUCUUAAGUCUGAUGUGAAAGCCCCCGGCUCAACCGGGGAGGGUCAUUGGAAACUGGGAGACUUGAGUGCAGAAGAGGAGAGUGGAAUUCCAUGUGUAGCGGUGAAAUGCGUAGAUAUAUGGAGGAACACCAGUGGCGAAGGCGGCUCUCUGGUCUGUUACUGACGCUGAGGCUCGAAAGCGUGGGGAGCAAACAGG